This 451-nucleotide ribosomal RNA is filed under the name uncultured bacterium. RNAcentral's name for it is "partial 16S ribosomal RNA". It matches the Rfam family "Bacterial small subunit ribosomal RNA", at positions 29 to 523 of the family's 1533-position model. The record is from RNAcentral.
AGCGAACGCUGGCGGCAGGCUUAACACAUGCAAGUCGAACGGGCGUAGCAAUACGUCAGUGGCAGACGGGUGAGUAACACGUGGGAACGUACCUCCUGGUUCGGAACAACACAGGGAAACUUGUGCUAAUACCGGAUAAGCCCUUACGGGGAAAGAUUUAUCGCCGAGAGAUCGGCCCGCGUCUGAUUAGCUAGUUGGUAGGGUAAUGGCCUACCAAGGCGACGAUCAGUAGCUGGUCUGAGAGGAUGAUCAGCCACAUUGGGACUGAGACACGGCCCAAACUCCUACGUGAGGCAGCAGUGGGGAAUAUUGGACAAUGGGGGCAACCCUGAUCCAGCCAUGCCGCGUGAGUGAUGAAGGCCCUAGGGUUGUAAAGCUCUUUUGUGCGGGAAGAUAAUGACGGUACCGCAAGAAUAAGCCCCGGCUAACUUCGUGCCAGCCGCCGCGGUAA